UACGUAGGGUGCAAGCGUUAAUCGGAAUUACUGGGCGUAAAGCGUGCGCAGGCGGUUGUGUAAGUUUGACGUGAAAUCCCCGGGCUUAACCUGGGAAUGGCGUUGAAGACUGCACGGCUAGAGUGUGUCAGAGGGGGGUAGAAUUCCACGUGUAGCAGUGAAAUGCGUAGAGAUGUGGAGGAAUACCGAUGGCGAAGGCAGCCCCCUGGGAUAACACUGACGCUCAUGCACGAAAGCGUGGGGAGCAAACAGGAUUAGAUACCCUGGUAGUCCACGCCCUAAACGAUGUCUACUAGUUGUCGGGUCUUAAUUGACUUGGUAACGCAGCUAACGCGUGAAGUAGACCGCCUGGGGAGUACGGUCGCAAGAUUAAA
Molecule: ribosomal RNA, 374 nt
Filed under: uncultured bacterium
Lineage: Bacteria
Description: bacterial SSU rRNA
Rfam family: Bacterial small subunit ribosomal RNA
Source: RNAcentral